UGGGGAAUAUUGCACAAUGGGCGCAAGCCUGAUGCAGCGACGCCGCGUGAGGGAUGACGGCCUGGUUGUAACUCUUCUACCCACUGACGAAGCGCAAGUGACGGUAGUGGGAG
This 113-nucleotide ribosomal RNA is filed under the name uncultured bacterium. RNAcentral's name for it is "partial 16S ribosomal RNA". It matches the Rfam family "Bacterial small subunit ribosomal RNA", at positions 355 to 484 of the family's 1533-position model. The record is from RNAcentral.